CAGUCGCCGCGGGAAUACGAAGGGGGCUAGCGUUGUUCGGAAUUACUGGGCGUAAAGCGCACGUAGGCGGACAUUUAAGUCAGGGGUGAAAUCCCGGGGCUCAACCCCGGAACUGCCUUUGAUACUGGGUGUCUAGAGUAUGGAAGAGGUGAGUGGAAUUCCGAGUGUAGAGGUGAAAUUCGUAGAUAUUCGGAGGAACACCAGUGGCGAAGGCGGCUCACUGGUCCAUUACUGACGCUGAGGUGCGAAAGCGUGGGGAGCAAACAGGAUUAGAGACCCGAGUAGUCCCUGUCUCUUAUAC
Molecule: ribosomal RNA, 301 nt
Filed under: uncultured bacterium
Lineage: Bacteria
Description: partial 16S ribosomal RNA
Rfam family: Bacterial small subunit ribosomal RNA
Source: RNAcentral